CAGCCGCCGCGGUAAUACGUAGGUGGCAAGCGUUGUCCGGAAUUAUUGGGCGUAAAGGGCUCGCAGGCGGUUUCUUAAGUCUGAUGUGAAAGCCCCCGGCUCAACCGGAGAGGGUCAUUGGAAACUGGGAAACUUGAGUGCAGAAGAGGAGAGUAGAAUUCCACGUGUAGCGGUGAAAUGCGUAGAGAUGUGGAGGAACACCAGUGGCGAAGGCGACUCUCUGGUCUGUAACUGACGCUGAGGAGCGAAAGCGUGGGGAGCGAACAGGAUUAGAUACCCCUGUAGUCCCUGUCUCUUAUAC
RNAcentral lists this ribosomal RNA (301 nucleotides) under uncultured bacterium. Its description in RNAcentral is "partial 16S ribosomal RNA". It matches the Rfam family "Bacterial small subunit ribosomal RNA", at positions 509 to 807 of the family's 1533-position model. The record is from RNAcentral.